RNAcentral lists this ribosomal RNA (513 nucleotides) under uncultured bacterium. Its description in RNAcentral is "partial 16S ribosomal RNA". It matches the Rfam family "Bacterial small subunit ribosomal RNA", at positions 28 to 507 of the family's 1533-position model. The record is from RNAcentral.
GACGAACGCUGGCGGCGUGCUUAACACGUGCAAGUCGAACGAGAGCGUAGAGAAAGCUUGCUUUUUCUACAAUCUAGUGGCAAACGGGUGAGUAACGCGUAAACAACCUGCCCUACGGAUGGGGACAACAGCUGGAAACGGCUGCUAAUACCGAAUACGUUCCGAAAGUCGCAUGACUAUCUGUAGAACGGAUGGCCUCUAUUUAUAAGCUAUCGCCGGGGGAGGGGUUUGCGUCUGAUUAGCUAGUUGGAGGGGUAACGGCACACCAAGGAGACGAUCAGUGGACGGUCUGAGGAGAUAACCGGCCACAAUGGAACGGAAACAAGGUCCAGACUACUACAGGAGGAAGCAGUGGGGAAACAUCCGCAAUGGGCGAAAGCAUGACGGAGCAACGCCGCGUGAGAGAAGACGGCCUUCGGGUUGUAAAGCUCUGUUAUACGGGAAGAAUAAGCUUGUGGUUAAUACCCAUGAGAAGUGACGGUACAGUAAGAGAAAGCCAAGGCUAACUACGUG